UACGAAGGGGGCUAGCGUUGCUCGGAAUCACUGGGCGUAAAGCGCACGUAGGCGGAUUGCUAAGUCAGGGGUGAAAUCCUGGAGCUCAACUCCAGAACUGCCUUUGAUACUGGUGAUCUUGAGUUCGGGAGAGGUGAGUGGAACUGCGAGUGUAGAGGUGAAAUUCGUAGAUAUUCGCAAGAACACCAGUGGCGAAGGCGGCUCACUGGCCCGGUACUGACGCUGAGGUGCGAAAGCGUGGGGAGCAAACAGG
This 253-nucleotide ribosomal RNA is filed under the name uncultured bacterium. RNAcentral's name for it is "partial 16S ribosomal RNA". It matches the Rfam family "Bacterial small subunit ribosomal RNA", at positions 524 to 776 of the family's 1533-position model. The record is from RNAcentral.